AAAAAGGUCUUCUUUGGUGCUUGGGUCAAGUGUUUUCUUCGGAUUUUAGUUUGUAUGUUUCUAUGCUUAGGUUUUGGUUUCGAUCUCUUUCGAUUUCGGCUUUUAAAUUUCUGUUUAUGUUUCUCUUUCAUACGAUUUUAGACUUCGGGAAAUUCACGUUUUUCUCCAGCUUUAGUUUCCGAAAACUUUUCUCUCGUCCGUCGGCUUUAGUUUCCGAAGAUUUUUCUUUCGUCCGUCAGCUUAACUUCCGUUAUUUGGGAUUUGUAUUUCACCUUAGUUUCAAAACAAGUUUCAUAAAUAAAAUAUUUCAGAUGAUAAAAAAACAAUUCAUAAUUCGGAAAUA
RNAcentral lists this small RNA (343 nucleotides) under Arabidopsis thaliana (thale cress). RNAcentral describes it as "ATSL254900". The record is from RNAcentral. Lineage: Eukaryota; Viridiplantae; Streptophyta; Magnoliopsida; Brassicales; Brassicaceae.